Ahaetulla prasina is the source of this 1293-nucleotide long non-coding RNA. RefSeq lists it as uncharacterized. The record is from RefSeq and is a predicted model, not a curated record. NCBI's taxonomy places the organism in Eukaryota, Metazoa, Chordata, Lepidosauria, Squamata, Colubridae. The transcript is spliced from 3 exons.
CAAGGACAAACAUAGCUAGUCCUCACUUACCAUUGGUUCACUGAGCCUUUCAAGUUACAAUGGGACUAUAGAAGCCGAUGUAAUUAUGAAGGUGCAGGAAAAGGAGUUGCACCAAUUCGGAUUCUGGCAACUGAUGCACUUUUAUAUCAUGGUUUCAGCAUCCCAGACUCAUAAUCCCCAUUUGUGACCUUCCCAGCUGGCUUCUGACAAGCAAACUCAAUGGGGAUGCCGGCAGAAAGGUGGAAGCCAGAGUCAUGUGAAAUUGCCUUUAACAACCCACAGUGAUUUGUUUAAGAACUGCAGAGGAACAGAUGCAAGUUGGCACUGUCAUGUGACUUCAUGAUUGGGCCACUUAGUGACACAGAUGCCAGUCCCAAUUGCAGUCAGUAAGUGAGGACUACUUCAAUUGGGAUGUCACCAAAGGAGUUGUGGAAAGUAUUUUCUGCCCUUACUGCAGCUCAGUGCUUCCAUGGGCAAAACUGGUGCUUCAAAUCUUGCAGAGGCUAAAGGCAUCAUUUCAUCAGUUAAAACCCCAAAUCUGUAAAUCUAGUGCCAUGCAGAUUGACAGGUGUGGCUCGAUAAAAUAAAAGACAGUCCAAGCGUGUGUGUUGAUAAGCCAAUGCAUUUAUUGGUCUGAAUAAAGAUGGGUCCCUCCUAAGAAGGAAGAAACCCAGAACAUAGUGCUAGGCAGAUACUUAUAAUUUGUUUGCUUUCACUUCAUUACAUACAGUAAGAGGCAGCUGGCACAUGACAGGUAAGAUACAGAAAUUCUAAAAAUAGUCAAGCAUGCCUUCUGUGAUUUUGGUCACUUGCCUAACCCACAGGCUGGUGGUUUCCUGUGAAAGUUUCCAUGGCCUCAGAAGCCUGUUGGGGCCUGAACAUCUCAACCUAUGAGCAAUCAUCCAAUUCAUCCAAUUCCUGGUUAAGAAUAGCACAGAAGGUUUGAGAUGUUUUUUAGACUUGAAAGACAUGGAUUUUCUCCAUAUUGUAGCAAUUUCCCUGGCUGUUGCAUCGUCUGACCCUUGGGUGUAUUUUCUUGGAUGUCUAUUCCUGGGAAGAUUGGCAACUGUCUGACAAAGAGGAUGGCAGUAAGAGCGUUUUGGACAACUGAGGAUAGCAAGCAACAUUGAACAGCAUAGCAAGUUAGUCGCGAAAUCAAAAUAUUUUCCAUUUCCUUCACAGAGCCUACAAUUCUUCACCUUCCUCAGCAAGUGAGAGAGAAACGAGAGAAAAUCAGGAAGAGAUUUCUAGCUUGGAAAAGAAGAGUGUGAAAUUCAAGCAUACAUUACAUGA